GAUGAACGCUGGCGGCGUGCCUAAUACAUGCAAGUCGAGCGAACAGACGAGUGGCUUGCUCCUCUGACGUUAGCGGCGGACGGGUGAGUAACACGUGGGUAACCUACCUAUAAGACAGGGGGAACUACGGGAACCCGGAGCUAAUUCCGGAUAAUAUAUUUAACCGCAUGGUUCAGUAGUGAAAUACAGUUUUUCUGUCUCUUGUAGAUGAAUCCGCGCCGCAUUUGCUAGUUGGUAAGGUAACGGCUUACCACGGCAACGAUUCGUAGCCGACCUGAGAUGGUGAUCGGCCACACUGGAAUUGAGCCGCGGUCCAGACUCCUACGGGAGGCAGCGGAAGGGAAUCUUCCGCAAUGGGCGAAAGCAUGACGGAACAAAGCCGCGUGACUGAUGAAGGGCUUCGGAUCGUAGAUCUCUGUUAUUUGGGUAGAACAAAUGUGUAAGUAACGAUGAACGUCUUGACGGUACCGAAUCAGAAAGCCACGGCUAACUACGUG
RNAcentral lists this ribosomal RNA (497 nucleotides) under uncultured bacterium. RNAcentral's name for it is "partial 16S ribosomal RNA". It matches the Rfam family "Bacterial small subunit ribosomal RNA", at positions 28 to 507 of the family's 1533-position model. The record is from RNAcentral.